This 417-nucleotide RNase P RNA is filed under the name Nostoc punctiforme PCC 73102. RNAcentral describes it as "Bacterial RNase P class A". It matches the Rfam family "Bacterial RNase P class A". Rfam says of the family: Ribonuclease P (RNase P) is a ubiquitous endoribonuclease, found in archaea, bacteria and eukarya as well as chloroplasts and mitochondria. Its best characterised activity is the generation of mature 5'-ends of tRNAs by cleaving the 5'-leader elements of precursor-tRNAs. Cellular RNase Ps are ribonucleoproteins. The record is from Rfam by way of RNAcentral. Lineage: Bacteria; Bacillati; Cyanobacteriota; Cyanophyceae; Nostocales; Nostocaceae.
AGAGUAGACGCAGGCGGUUGCAGAUCAGUCAUAGUCACUGAUUUGAGGAAAGUCCGGGCUCCCGAAAGACCAAACUUGCUGGAUAACGUCCAGUGCGAGCGAUCGUGAGGAUAGUGCCACAGAAAGAUACCGCCAGAUCAAUUAAAAAUUAAAAAUUAAAAAUCUAAAAUGAGUAAUUUUUAAUUUUACAUUUUUAAUUGAUCUGGUAAGGGUGCAAAGGUGCGGUAAGAGCGCACCAGCAGUAUCGAGAGGUGCUGGCUCGGUAAACCCCGGUUGGGAGCAAGGCGAUAGGAACUACGGUUGGUCUUUUACCAGUUCCGCUCAAUGAGAGCCGCUAGAGGCGUUUGGUAACAAGCGUCCCAGAUAGAUAACUGCCCUCGCAAGAGAACAGAACCCGGCUUAUGUACUGCUCUUUCC